AGCCUGAAAGUGAAACAAAGAGACAAAAACAAAAAGCAAAACGUUGAAAUUGCUCAAAUAUGUACUUGCUGGGGCGAUUGCUUUGUUUUGCUGCUUUUAUUCCAAGUGCACUUUCC
Molecule: non-coding RNA, 116 nt
Filed under: Heterosigma akashiwo
Lineage: Eukaryota; Raphidophyceae; Chattonellales; Chattonellaceae
Source: RNAcentral